RNAcentral lists this transfer RNA (89 nucleotides) under Gammaproteobacteria bacterium. RNAcentral describes it as "tRNA-Ser". It matches the Rfam family "tRNA". Rfam says of the family: Transfer RNA (tRNA) molecules are approximately 80 nucleotides in length. Their secondary structure includes four short double-helical elements and three loops (D, anti-codon, and T loops). Lineage: Bacteria; Pseudomonadati; Pseudomonadota; Gammaproteobacteria. The record is from RNAcentral.
GGAGAGGUGGCUGAGCGGUCUAAAGCGGCGGUCUUGAAAACCGCAGGGGGCAUUGCCCUCCGGGGGUUCGAAUCCCUCCCUCUCCGCCA